AAGUCGUAACAAGGUUUCCGUAGGUGAACCUGCGGAAGGAUCAUUAUCGAGGGGGGGCUAUGCCCCCCAAAGGAUGUAGGCCAGCUUGAAUUGUAGCCCGUUUGGCACAUACAGACGAUAAAAGACCCUGUUGAGUGUAGUGUGGCUCACGCCAUCUCUGCAGCUCAGGGCCUUCUACCUAGGAUGUGUCUGCUGCCUACUCGGUGGUAGUAUGCCCUAUUGUAGGACGUCUUUUUGGAGCAAACGUUACUUGGAUGGCUGGUAGCUACCAUUCUGUACCCCUGUCUAUGAGUACUCUUGUUUCCUCGGCAGGCUUGCCUGCCAUUGAGGACCCAUCAACCCUUUUUAUGUUGUGGUAAUCGUAACAAAACAAUAAUCAAAACUUUCAACAACGGAUCUCUUGGUUCUG
RNAcentral lists this unclassified non-coding RNA (409 nucleotides) under fungal sp. Its description in RNAcentral is "partial internal transcribed spacer region". The stretch from base 1 to 46 matches the Rfam family "Eukaryotic small subunit ribosomal RNA", at positions 1786 to 1831 of the family's 1831-position model. The record is from RNAcentral. Lineage: Eukaryota; Fungi.